This 922-nucleotide long non-coding RNA is filed under the name Sorghum bicolor (sorghum). Its description in RNAcentral is "long non-coding RNA (SBIC_LNC016959)". The record is from RNAcentral. Lineage: Eukaryota; Viridiplantae; Streptophyta; Magnoliopsida; Poales; Poaceae.
AAACCAGUAUACUAUUUUUUUUUUCAAUCCCCUAACCUACAUCUAUAUAUAUUUAUAUCUAUACCUCUAAUAAUAAAAAUAACAAAAAUUUUCAACCAUUUUUUCGUCCAUCCAUUUUUUCCGUCCACAUCCUUCUAACUAACUUUUUGUAUCUAUAGCUCUCCUGAUUUAUAUAAUAGGUUCGAGAUAGUUACAAAUCCAAAUACAACUCCGCGAUAUCAAAUAAGCUGAAUAAGAAUCCAAUUUCUAUCUAAUAUCUAUGUCUAUCUAUACCUAAUAUAGUAAUAUUAAGCCUCCAAUCCUAACUAACUUGAAUAUGAAUACAACUCUUCUAAUGUAGAUGAAUAGUAAAAUGGACAAAUUAAAGCGAUUUAAAAUUAUCAUAAUUUUUUUUGUCUAACCUGUUCGCUGAGACCCACGUCUUUUUUUUUCUGUUUUAGCUUUUCCCACGUUUAGUUUCGUGAUUUUUUCCUCUUUUCUUAUUUUUUAUUUAUAAAAAUAAAUAAAUAAAUAAAUAAAUAAAUAAAUAAAUAAUAAAGUAUUGCGUGUCAUCUCUUUCUCAUUUCCUAAUAAAUAGAUAUUUUCGCACUAAUCAAUCUAGAUCAACCGAUGCUACAACUAAUCAAUCUUAAAUAUAAUAUAGUUUGUCAUCCAGUCCAAUAUAUAUCUAUAUAACUAUACUUGUAUACCUCAUAUUAAAUAGCUAAAAUUUUAUUCAUUUUUGUCCACCUCUAACUAUCCAGAUAUAGCAGAGAGUUUCUUCUGCCUAUUUUUUUACUUGAUUUGAACUUAUGACCUAUACCCUUAUACCCAUAUAAGUUAGAACAACUCACAUGGCCUGAUUCCAAUAUGUAAAAGGUGGUGCCCCCCUAUCUCGUACUUGAUCCGGACACAUGACUCCCACUAACAACUCGCAUCUAGC